This 429-nucleotide ribosomal RNA is filed under the name Pseudomonadota bacterium. RNAcentral describes it as "Proteobacteria bacterium partial 16S ribosomal RNA". It matches the Rfam family "Bacterial small subunit ribosomal RNA", at positions 355 to 776 of the family's 1533-position model. The record is from RNAcentral. Lineage: Bacteria; Pseudomonadati; Pseudomonadota.
UGGGGAAUAUUGGACAAUGGGCGAAAGCCUGAUCCAGCCAUGCCGCGUGUGUGAAGAAGGUCUUCGGAUUGUAAAGCACUUUAAGUUGGGAGGAAGGGCAGUAAGCGAAUACCUUGCUGUUUUGACGUUACCGACAGAAUAAGCACCGGCUAACUCUGUGCCAGCAGCCGCGGUAAUACAGAGGGUGCAAGCGUUAAUCGGAAUUACUGGGCGUAAAGCGCGCGUAGGUGGUUCGUUAAGUUGAAUGUGAAAGCCCCGGGCUCAACCUGGGACCUGCAUCCAAAGCUGGCGAGCUAGAGUAGGGCAGAGGGUGGUGGAAUUUCCUGUGUAGCGGUGAAAUGCGUAGAUAUAGGAAGGAACACAAGUGGCGAAGGCGACAACCUGGGCUCAUACUGACACUGAGGUGCGAAAGCAUGGGGAGCAAACAGG